UACAGAGGUCUCAAGCGUUGUUCGGAUUCAUUGGGCGUAAAGGGUGCGUAGGCGGCGCGGUAAGUCGGGUGUGAAAUCUCGGGGCUUAACUCCGAAACUGCAUUCGAUACUGCCGUGCUUGAGGACUGGAGAGGAGACUGGAAUUUACGGUGCAGCGGUGAAAUGCGUAGAUAUCGUAAGGAAGACCAGUGGCGAAGGCGGGUCUCUGGACAGUUCCUGACGCUGAGGCACGAAGGUCAGGGGAGCAAACGGG
Molecule: ribosomal RNA, 253 nt
Filed under: uncultured bacterium
Lineage: Bacteria
Description: partial 16S ribosomal RNA
Rfam family: Bacterial small subunit ribosomal RNA
Source: RNAcentral